This is a long non-coding RNA of Zea mays, 908 nucleotides long. RefSeq lists it as uncharacterized. NCBI's taxonomy places the organism in Eukaryota, Viridiplantae, Streptophyta, Magnoliopsida, Poales, Poaceae. The record is from RefSeq and is a predicted model, not a curated record. The transcript has 2 exons.
AGCAAAUACAGAGCUGUGUUUGCCAAACGAACAUGCAGAUGUCUUCGCGAGGUAGAAUGCCUAUUACUGGCAGUCAGUGUACAGGCAAUUUCAUAAACACCACACGCUUUGAACUGUCCACGUAUAUGCUGCUACUAUAUAUUUGCUUAAAAGUUCCACAACUAUGAGACUAAAAACAGAAGCAGAAUCUGUCUGCCCAUAACAAAAACUUGGACUAUGCAAUGUACGUUUCUGCAUCAUGCCUGUAGAAACUCGUUAUUUCUUUUCUUAUAUAUUAAAGCCGGACAGAAACGUGAACGAUGAGGCCAUCCACGUCGUCAAAAAAAAUCGGGCCGUCCGAUCGCCAAUCAAAGGUUGAUGUCUCCUCUUGCUCUCUCGCUCGCUCCGCCUCUUUCCUCUCGCUCCCUCUGCUUCUGGAUACUUCCGAUGCCUCUCCUCGCUCCCUCGGUCGCUGCUGAUGCGCCACGCCGCCACCGGCGCCUCAUCGGCAGGAAUCAUAUGGACAGCCCAGAGGUGGUGGCCUCCGCGUCCCCGGCUGCGGCGGCGAGCGAGCGCCAGGAGAGGCCCGCGAGGCUGCGGCGGAAGAUCUCGUCCGCGUUCUGCGCCUGCAUGGGCCAUCCCCCGGCGUCGCACGUGCAGCAGUAGGCAUGCUACGAACUAACCGUGGAUCGCGUGUGGACGGAUGGGUGUGAUGUGCAUUUGGUCGGCGCGCCGUCUCCACACGAGGUGCAUGGUCGUCUACCGUACACGGUGUACCAACAGGAGCCAGUUGUGUGCAUAUCGCUACAGCUUGCGACUUGCGAGGGUGACGAACUGACGAUUGAAUGCUGUCGCUCCGGUUUCUGGGAAUGAUCGGAUAAGUUUACUUCCAGAAUUAUAUAAUACAUCUUAUGGAUUAUAUAAGCAUC